This 25-nucleotide non-coding RNA is filed under the name Cricetulus griseus (Chinese hamster). Lineage: Eukaryota; Metazoa; Chordata; Mammalia; Rodentia; Cricetidae. The record is from RNAcentral.
UGAGAUCAAUCCAGGAGACUCUGGA